This 203-nucleotide ribosomal RNA is filed under the name uncultured bacterium. RNAcentral describes it as "partial 16S ribosomal RNA". It matches the Rfam family "Bacterial small subunit ribosomal RNA", at positions 524 to 723 of the family's 1533-position model. The record is from RNAcentral.
UACGGGAGGAUGCAAGCGUUAUCCGGAAUUAUUGGGACGUAAAGCGUCCGCAGGUGGUUCAUCAAGUCUGCUGUCAAAGCGCGAGGCUUAACUCGUAAAGGCAGUGGAAACUGAUAGACUGGAGUGCGGUGAGGGCAGAGGGAAUUCCCAGUGUAGCGGUGGAAAUGACGUAGAUAUUGGGAAGAACACCGGUGGCGAAAGCG